CUCCAACUACUACUGCUCCUAUAACCCCUGACCCUCCAACUACUACUGCUCCUAUAACCCCUGACCCUCCAACUACUACUGCUCCUAUAACCCCUGACCCUCCAACUACUACUGCUCCUAUAACCUCUGACCCUCCAACUACUACUGCUCCUAUAACCCCUGACCCUCCAACUACUACUGCCCCUAUAACCCCUGACCCUCCAACUACUACUGCUCCUAUAACCCCUGACCCUCCAACUACUACUGCUCCUAUAACCUCUGACCCUCCAACUACUACUGCUCCUAUAACCCCUGACCCUCCAACUACUACUGCUCCUAUAACCCCUGACCCUCCAACUACUACUGCUCCUAUAACCUCUGACCCUCCAACUACUACUGCUCCUAUAACCCCUGACCCUCCAACCACUACUGCUCCUAUAACCCCUGACCCUCCAACUACUACUGCUCCUAUAACCCCUGACCCUCCAACCACUACUGCCCCUAUAACCCCUGACACUCCAACUACUACUGCUCCUAUAACCCCUGACCCUCCAACCACUACUGCCCCUAUAACCCCUGACACUCCAACUACUACUGCUCCUAUAACCCCUGACCCUCCAACCACUACUGCCCCUAUAACCCCUGACACUCCAACUAGUGCCCCUCCAACUAAUGACAUUCCAACUACUGACACUCCAACUACCGACAGUCCAACUACCGACACGCCAACUACUGAUAAUCUAACUACUAACAGUUCAACUACCGACACGCCAAAUACUGAUAAUCUAACUACUGACACUCCAACUACCGACACUCCAACUACUGAAUACUCUGCAGCUACUACUGGUCAUCCAACUACUGGUUACCUAACUACUACUGAUCCUCCAGCUACUGGUUACAUAAAUACUACUGGUCUUCCAACUACUGGUUACCCUACCUCUAUCCCUAUCACCAGUAUCAGUCUCCCCACCAUCUCUACCAACACCACCAACACCUUUUCCACAACCUUUACCAACACCUAUCCUACCAUCUCUAACACCACCACCACCUCUCCUACCACCUCUCCCACCACGUCUAACACCACCUCCACCACCACCUCUCCCACCAUGUCUAACACCACCUCUCCCACCACGUCUAACACCACUUCCACCACCAACUCCACCACCAUGUCUAACACCACCUCUACCACUACCGUCUCCACCACCACCUCUACCACCACAAUCCCUCAUCUGGACUGUUUCAACGGUGGUGAGCUGCAGAGUGGAGUCUGUAUCUGUCCUGAUGAGUGGACUGGAGAGACCUGUUCAGAGGGGUAUUUCUGCAAUUCCACCAUCAUUGGUGAUUUCUCCUACCCAAGAACAACGGUUGGCUGGUCUGCUUAUUCAGAAGAGUUGUGUGAUGAGAAUACAACCAGUGCUGGUUUACCAAAAGCCUCAGCAAGAUGUUUGAAUGACACUGGCUCUCUGAUGUUUGGUCCUCCUCAUGAACUGCAGUGUGAAUUAACCCUCAGUGACAUUCAAGGAAAUAUCUCCAGCAGUUCAGGUGAUUUACUACAGUUGGCCUUCAGUACUCAGAUCCUGACCUCUCAACCAGAGCGGCUGUCAGCUGACAACAUCACCACAGCAGCUCAGAUCGCUAACACACUGCUUCUGUCUGCAAAUAUCACAGAGGACAUCGCAGUGGCAGCUGUAACUACCAUCAGUCAGCUGCUCAAUGCCAGUGAGGAGAGUACACAGGAGAGAGACGCUGUCCAAAACCUCACAGAGACCCUGGAGAUGUUUUCCCUGGACCAGCACAAUAAUGUGUCCUUGGUGGUUCAGCCCAACCUGGCAGUCCAGUCUGUCCAAGUACCAAGUGACUCAGUAGGGAUCCAGUUUACUGCUCUGACUGGAAGAUCUGGUAAUUUUGUGGCCAACAGAAUUCAUCUCAACACCAAUACCUCUGAACUGAUAGCUGACAAAGGAGGUUCUACCGAUGUCCAGAUUGUCAUGAAAUUCCCACCAGUUUUACGUAGUAAAAACACAAACUACUCCAUUGGUUUUGUGCUCUACCAAAACGACCGGUUCUUCAGGUCCAGGGCUUUCAGAGCUUCUUCAGGAACCAGAAGAAGGGUCAUCUCUGCUAACCUGGGACAAGUGUCUGGGUUACAUGUUGAGAUGCUCUUCAAGCCCACAGCUGUUCCCAACACCUCCCUCUAUGACUUUGCCUGUGUGUCAUGGAACUACACGUUGAAAGACUGGAGCACCUUUGGCUGCUCCAAAGUCAACCACUCAGAAGACGGCCUGCGAUGUUUCUGUAAUCACACCACUAACUUUGCUGUGCUGAUGUCGUUCAGGAGGGAUUUUAAAUACGCUGAAGCGCUAAACUGGAUCACCAUAUUGGGAUGCUCCAUGUCCAUCAUAGGGUUGAGUUUAACAAUAACAUUCCAGAUCGCAACCAGGAAAACACGCAAAACCAACCCAACGGUUCUCUUAGUGAGCAUCUGCAUGUGUCUUCUGAUCUUCACCCUGCUCUUCAUGUUGGGAGUGGACAACCCCCAUAAACAGCUGGACAAACCUGAAAUACAUAAGGACAACAUUCUCCCCCCGUCCGACAAACACACAGAGCGGGACAGGGGGCCUUGUACUGCAGUGGCAGUCCUGCUGCAGUACUUCCUGUUGGGGACGUUCACCUGGAACACGCUGUUCGCCACACACGUCUUCCUGAUGAUCAGAAACAGCCUGGCCACCAGCCCGUCACACUUCACAGCCUAUACCGUGGCCAUUGGAUGGGGACUGCCUGCAGUUGUGGUGGCCCUCACCUUAGGAAUUAGUUACAGAGUGGAUGAUCCACUGGGAUACAGGCAGGAGGAAUUUUGCUGGCUUGCUGCCCUCGAUCCAAAGGGGAACUUUGACUUCAAGCUGCCAAUGUUUUGGGGGUUCCUGGUCCCUGUGGCAUUCAUGCUUAUGUUCAACACAGUGGUGUUGAUAUGUUUUGCAGUUACAACAACCAAGACCAACCCACAUUUAACCAGUACAAGACACACAUCGAUGAAGAAGAAGUUCCUCAGUAGCUUCUCUCUGGCUGUGGUGCUCGGUCUCUCCUGGAUCCUGGGCUAUCUGUUGCUCAUUCCACAGAACCAGACCAUGUACACCAUACUCAACAUCUCCUUCUGUGUUCUCACCACCACUCAGGGCUUGCAGAUUUUCAUUCUGUUCACAGCAAGAACAUCAAUUGUCAAGAAAAUGAUGGCAGAUGCUUUGAAAUCUGCCUCUAGUGUUGAGAUCCAACUUCACACCAAGAGGUUCAGUCUAUGGCGAGACGAGCGCAGAGAAAAGGUAGAAUCAUACACACAGCUGGACACUGAUCUGUCAACACAUUAACCCUUUAAUUGCCACAUAAUUUUUCUGAAAAAUAUGUGUAUUUAUCCUUAAUAUAGGCCAUAAAUCAUUUGUUUUUGAUUGCUAACAUCUCAACCAGCCUGUUCAGUUGCCCAAUUAUGUUAAACUAGUUAUGUAUUGGAUUUUACAUAUGCUUUUUAAAUCAUCUGAAAAAUGGUACAUUAAUUAACGUCAUGUCUGCUUCAGUUACUUAUAAUGGAAGACAGGCCAAGAUAAAUGAUGACUGAUAUCAAAUAUGAAUACAAUAUGAUAUAUGUGUCAAUAUGAGUAUUCAAAUAUAUAUAUACAUUCAUAUUUACUGUUUAUAUGUUCAUAAUACCUGUAAAAUUACAUGUCCUGAAAACAUUUGUGAAACAAAUUGAACAGGCAGAUUGUAAAUACUGAUAUGAAUAUGAAAAUAUAUUUAUAUUUGCACAGACAAAAAAAUCCCACAACAAUAUUUCUCCAUAAUAGCUAGCGUUGUCUAAAUAGCAUUCCUUUAAUGGGCAACUCAACCUCCUGGUAGAGCAUAUUUUUCAAGAGUUCCUCUAAUAAAUAACAUCAAAUAUUAGUAAUUUUAUGAUACUAAAAAUGAUAUUUUUGAGUUCAACAACAUUGUACAGUCAUGUAAUAUGUAAAGGAGUGUGUAACUGGCUGCAGGGAAGUCAGGCGCAGGAGAGCAGAUGGUUAGCAAACGGAGCCCUUUAUUGAGGCAAACAAAACACGGGACUCAGAAAACUAUACACACACGGUUUACAAUAACCCGGCGCAAACCAGCCUGGAGUACACAUAAAUGUACAUAUAACAACUCCACACACAGACAUGGGGGGAAACAGAGGGUUAUAUGCAAUAUGAGUGAUGAGGGAAUGCAAACCAGGUGUGCGGGAAAACAAGACAAAACAAAUGGAAAAUGAAAGGUGGAUCGGCGAUGGCUAGAAGACCAGUGACGUCGACCGCCGAACGCCGCCCGAACAAGGAGAGGGACCGACCUCGGCGGAAGUCGUGACAAUAUAUACCAUUUUAUACACAAUUAGUACUGGAAAUGUGUGAUUAAUCAGGUUCAGUUUUGCUCACGUUCAUGUCUUUUAACCAUCUUUGAAUGUUUGUGUAAAAAUAUAGAGGAGUCCAAUAAUGAAAACCACAUGAUCAUUUUACUAAAUGGCAUGACAAAAUAUGGUAAACAAAAGUUAUAUUUAUUUGAAUUUACAGUUGGUUGUCAGCCACUCAGUUGAGCGGCCGCUUAAAGGGUUCAUUUCCAACUUGUUACUCACAGAUUGAUUGGCAGCAAGUUCAACCUUUGUCAAUGUCUCAUAGACUUCCAUUAUUGCCUAUAGUAAUACACACACCAUUUAUAUAUAUCAAAAGUGUUAUUGCCCAAUAAUGUUUUGGCUAUGUCCAUGUUGGUAAAUUGACAUUGUUGGGUUGGUAAACCAAGACAGGCUGAGUCUGGGAUGCACAACCAGGUCAAGCUGGAAGAAAGCAGAUCCAAAGGAGUGAUGUGGUGCAGAGGGAGAUAUGAAAUACUGAGGAAGAAAACAGGAAGGUAUGAAACACUGAGGAAGAAAACAGGGAGGUAUGAAACACUGAAGAAGAAAGCAAGCGUGUCAGAGGGAGGUAUGAAUGGCUGAGGAAGAAAGCAGGGAGGUAUGAAACACUGAGGAAGAAAGCAAGCGUGUCAGAGGGAGAUAUGAAUGGCUGAGGAAGAAAGCAGGGAGGUAUGAAACACUGAAGAAAGCAAGCGUGUCAGAGGGAGGUAUGAAACACUGAGGAGGAAAGCAAGCGUGUCGGAGGGAGGUAUGAAACACUGAGGAGGAAAGCAAGCGUGUCAGAGGGAGGUAUGAAACACUGAGGAGGAAAGCAAGCUUGUCAGAGGGAGGUAUGAAAGGCUGAGGAAGAAAGCAGGCAUGUCAGAGGGAGGUAUGAAAGGCUGAGGAAGAAAGCAGGCAUGUCAGAGGGAGGUAUGAAAGGCUGAGGAAGAAAGCAGGCAUGUCAGAGGGAGGUAUGAAAGGCUGAGGAAGAAAGCAGGCAUGUCAGAGGGAUGUAUGAAAGGCUGAGGAAGAAAGCAGGCAUGUCAAGGUUAUAGCCAUAAAAAAAACACAGCAGCUGAACAUGCUGGGGGAGCGUGAGAGAGUGGUCACUCACCUGGAACAUGGAAGGGCAGCAGAUUAAGUUUCUGCUUUGCUCUGUGUACAAUGUUUUUCCCACACCAACAAACCUUCACACGUGGGGGUUGGCAGACAGCCCAGACAGCUGCACGAUAUGUGGACAACCAGCCGAUCUGAAGCAUAUGCAGGUGGCGGCAUGACCAAAUACUGACAACUGGCCACGGGACUGAAGCAAGCAAGGAGAAAGCUGAAACAUCUGACCCAGGUCUCCUCGUCGUGUUUGGAGGACAAAGAAUGCUGAGUUGCAUCCAAAGAACACCAUACCUACUGUGAAGCAUGGGGGUGGAAAAAUCAUGCUUUGGGGCUGUUUUUCUGCAAAGGGACCAGGACGUCUGAUCCGUGUAAAGGAAAGAAUGAAUGGGGCCAUGUAUCGUGAGAUUUUGAGUGAAAACCUUCCAUCAGCAAGGGCAUUGAAGAUGAAACGUGGCUGGCAUGACAAUGAUCCCAAACACACCGCCCGGGCAAUGAAGGAGUGGCUUCGUAAGAAGCAUUUCACGGUCCUGGAGUGGCCGAGCCAGUCUCCAGAUCUCAAUCCCAUAGACAAUCUUUGGAGGGAGUUGAAAGUCUGUGUUGCCCAGCAACAGCCCCAAAACAUCACUGCUCUAGAGGAGAUCUGCAUGGAGGAAUGGGCCAAAAUACCAGCAACAGUGUGUGAAAACCUUGUGAAGACUUACAGAAAAUGUUUGACCUCUGUCAUUGCCAACAAAGGGUAUAUAAAAAAGUAUUGAGAUAAACUUUUGCUAUUGACCAAAUACAUAUUUUCCACCAUAAUUUGCAAAUAAAUUAAUUAAAAAUCCUACAACGUGAUUUUCUGGAUUUUUUUUUUCAUUUUGUCUGUCAUAGUUGAAGUGUACCUAUGAUGAAAAUUACAUUCUCUCAUCUUUUUAAGUGGGAGACCUUGCAUAAUUGGUGGCUGACUAAAUACUUUUAUGCCCCACUGUACAUUUGAACGGGGUAUGGUUAUAGGUGCCAGGCGAGAACUGCAAUGCUGCUGGGUUUUCAUGCUCAACGGUUUCCUGUGGGUAAAGAAUGGUUCACCACACAGCAUUGGAGUCAACAUGGGCCAGCAUCCCUUUCGACACCUUGUAGAGUCCAUGCCCUGACGAGUUGAGGCUGUUCUGAGGGCAGAAGUGUGUGGAGGUGCAACUCAACAUCAGGAAGGUGUUCCUACUGUUUGGUAAACUCAGUGUAUGAUGCUGUUGUUAAGAGUCUUCUGUGAUUGAGAAUUAUGUUGGAAAAUUGCUUUCAAUGAAGAUGUGCAAAAAUGUAUGAUGCAUUUAACUUAUCAAAUGAUUAUUACCAAUAUAUGACCUUACUUUUUUAGUUUGGUUUAUAGUCAAUGAUUGACUGAUGUUUUCUAUUUUUGCUGCGAGGGAUAAAAUAGCAUCAAUGAA
This is an RNA transcript of Oncorhynchus keta (chum salmon), 6897 nucleotides long. It is a transcript of the gene named adhesion G-protein coupled receptor G7-like, with no coding region annotated. The transcript has 17 exons. The record is from RefSeq and is a predicted model, not a curated record. NCBI's taxonomy places the organism in Eukaryota, Metazoa, Chordata, Actinopteri, Salmoniformes, Salmonidae.